This 536-nucleotide long non-coding RNA is filed under the name Trifolium pratense (red clover). RNAcentral describes it as "long non-coding RNA (TPRA_LNC010820)". Lineage: Eukaryota; Viridiplantae; Streptophyta; Magnoliopsida; Fabales; Fabaceae. The record is from RNAcentral.
UUUAUUAUUAUUUAUUGUUUUUAAGCUUUAGGUACUACUCCACCUUUUCACCUGAUGGGAUCUUACUUGUAAUAAGUCCAACCUAUUACUCAGAGUAGAGCAUCCUACACAGCAAUUGUUCCUCCAGUUUCGGGCACAGGAACUUGUUCCUCCAGUUUCGGGCACAGGAACUUAUUAUAUUCAUUAGUUUUAGCUCUUAAACAGUUUCCCUUUUUCUCAAUUAAUAGCAAUGAUCGGUCUAUCUGUUACUCUAGCCUUUCCCCCACACUUAGUUCUAAUCAUACCUCCAUUAUAUUCAAAUUAGAGAACUUAGUCUAAAGAAUAAAUAUUUUAGAGAUUUAUCUAGACAUUACUAAGUUUGACGGUGUUCAAGCAGUUGUGCAUUAAGUUGCAAAGACUAUCAUGUCAAGUAUCAAAACAAAAAACUCCAAAAAUUUCACUGACCCUACAGCUAUCUGCCCUAGCCUUAGAACAUGUGACUACUCAUGAUGAUUUAUUUUAUUAUUAUUAUUUUUUAAUUUUUUUUUUAAAACACA